RNAcentral lists this small RNA (88 nucleotides) under Aneurinibacillus migulanus. RNAcentral's name for it is "BsrC". It matches the Rfam family "BsrC". Rfam says of the family: The 301 nucleotide sequence from Kouji Nakamura has been trimmed to a highly conserved ~85 nucleotide long core to form this family. Lineage: Bacteria; Bacillati; Bacillota; Bacilli; Caryophanales; Paenibacillaceae. The record is from Rfam by way of RNAcentral.
GAACCUCAAAACGACGAAAGCCCUACCUCUCUUCCAUCCUUACGGCUCCGAAGACCGUGCCAGUGUGAAUUGCGUUGACAAAAAUAAA